RNAcentral lists this long non-coding RNA (970 nucleotides) under Callithrix jacchus (white-tufted-ear marmoset). Its description in RNAcentral is "lncRNA (ENSCJAG00000084175.1)". Lineage: Eukaryota; Metazoa; Chordata; Mammalia; Primates; Cebidae. The record is from RNAcentral.
AGAGACUUCAUGAGUAAAGCCACAUGAGUUUCCUUUUUUGUCCAUCCAGAGGUAAGCACAGUUUAUGUAUGUUUGCUUAAGCAAGAUUAAAGUUGGUAACAAUUGAGAUUUAAUCUUGGUAUUUAAAGCAGCUCACUUUUUUUUUAAUGCAGAAAAUCUCUCAGCACUUAAAUUUAAAGUUACAGCUGGAAGUAAAACGAAUAAUUGCUCAUUAACUCUAUCUCUCUAUAGAGUAGUGACCAGGCCCAGUGAAAUUCAGUAACUUACCUAAUGCACAGCUGAUGUUUUAACACUUUGUCAUGAGGCUGGGUAAUUCAUCCAGUGCGCUUUUCUUGAUGACCUAAGACGGGAUAAAUUCCUCUCAGGUGUCAGGAAUGUUGUUUCUUUGAUGUAUUCAAAAUCUAGCCAUCUGCUUGAGUGAAAUUCUGUCAUCAUUAUCUGUCAGAGUGGAACGAAAGCAAACCCUUAAGCCUAGUGAUAGAGUUUUUGGAUGUUUGGCCCCUUCAUAUGUCAUGUGAUUCCCAGUGUGGGAGGUGAAGCCUGGUAGGAGGUGUUUGGGUCAUGGGAAAGCCUUCCUCAUGAAUGGCUGGGUGUCCUCCCAGUGGUAAUGAGUUACUUCAAGAUCUGGUUGUGAAAAAGACUCUUGGACCAGCUCUCUCUCUCUCUCUCUCUCUCUUUCCCCGCCUUUCUCCAGCCAUAUGACACACCAGCUCCCCCUUUGCCUUCUGCCAUGAGGAAAAGCUUCAUGAGGCCUUACCAGAAGCCAAGCAGACACUGGCACCAUGCUUCUAUAACCUGCAGAACAGCGAGUCAAGUACAGACGUCUUUAUAAAUUACCCAGCCUCAGGCAUCUCUUCUACUGAAUGCAGUUGUAUUCCAUACAUUUGCAUUAUAUGCACCUGCUACAUCCGACAUCUUGAAGAGAGAGUGCAAACAAAUAAUUGGAAGUCAAAGAAAAAAAUUGAACCAG